Long non-coding RNA from Manis pentadactyla (Chinese pangolin), 3379 nucleotides. RefSeq lists it as uncharacterized. The transcript is spliced from 4 exons. The record is from RefSeq and is a predicted model, not a curated record. NCBI's taxonomy places the organism in Eukaryota, Metazoa, Chordata, Mammalia, Pholidota, Manidae.
GACUGAAUGCCAGGGGCAGACUCCAGCCAGCCUCAAGGACAAGAUGAUGGAAUGCGGAAGAAGUGUCAGCUGGGAGCCACUCAGCCCACAGGCUAGGCUGGCUGGACCUGGGGACUGAGCCCUGCCCACUGGAUCUGUCAUGUGGCACCUGGUGAGCCCGCAAGAAGGCUGGGGCAUCAGCCUCACUCUCUUCCAAACAAGCUUCCUUCCAGGGGGUCUCGGUGCCACAGUUUCCAAGCCCCGCCCGAGGCUGGGGCCUGGGGGAAGGCUGUUUCACGACAGCACUUGACCAUGGAGGCAAAGCCUUGGAGUUCAAACCAUCCCCUGAUUCUGUCCUGAUGAGAACUAUCAGCAAAAAUCCAGCUAGAGGCAGCUCUAAACCUGCGACCCCAGAAUUCCACGUUUAAAAAUGUACCCCUUGGGGGCUCUCUUGUCCCCUCCUGGUGUGAGCCAGGAGCUCUUCCCUCUCACUUUAUUUCUAAAUAAAAGCCUGUACCUUGCUCUCCUAGAAAAAAAAAAAAUGUACCCUUUGGAAAUAGCAGGUCAUUUGUGCAGAGAGGUUCCUGGCAGAGUGAUUAAAAGAAAGGAGAAGUGGAAACUGCCCCGGGUGCAGAGUAGACAGGGCUGCCCAUCAGUUUCUUCUCUUCCAUUUGAAUGGGGUUCCCUGCUUUCAGAGUAUCCCCAGAGUCAUGAUCUCAUCUGACCCUCAGAAUUACCUGCGCCCAUGAGGUAAGAGGGCUGGAAGAAUGAUUACCCCCCACUUCUCACACAAAGGAAAUCAAGGCCCAGAGAAGCCAAGUGACUGACCCAAAGUCACAGAGCUUGUUGAAAUCUAGGGCCUGGACCCUGACUUCCUGACCCUUAAUCCAGUGCUCCUUUCCCCAUCCCAAGACAUCUUUAUGAACAAAUUAAUAGUAAUAAGGACAGACUUGUGUGGCCUAGGAAUGUGCAUGUGAAAGAAUGCUGAGUAGAUCAGACCCUGAGAUGGGAGAUGAGGUGGGAGCCUAUGUGCAAGCACCAUAAAUAAUAUUCCUAAAUGUGCAGGAACGAUUGGUCCUCAUCCCACUGGGGGCUCCCUUUCUGCCAGGCUCUUCUGUGAAAACCACUUUAAGGAGAAAACCAUAAUUACUCUCUUGGGGAUGGCAGAGCACUUAAGGGAAUGUCAGGGAAUGUCAGGGUGCUCACCAUCCUCCCCACUCAGCACUUUUCUGGCUCAUGCAGCCAGAAAAGCAUAUUCAGUGUCAUAAUUUCAUAGUUGGAAAAGUAGAAGAAUCAGUUACUCUUGUAAUUCAGACCACAGCGAGUAAAGUACAUAAAAAUAGAACCUCUGUGGUUGGGAGAGACCCACUGAAGCUCAGUGAAUUCUUAAGCGGGGCAAACCUCCCCACCCCCAGGGAAGGUGGGGGUAUCUGAAAAACCAGGGCCUGAGGUUGGGGCAUUUAAAUAGGUUUAAAUAGGUUGAGAAAUUCUGGACUAAAUGCCCUUUUCAGGCUCUCUGCGGUCUGCCAAUGUGUAAAAUUCUCUUGAUGAUUAUCGAUUGUUGGAAGAGAAUUUCCAGUAUGAUGUCAAGUUGGAAUUUCAUGCUCAUUUUAAGACGUGGCCUGCUGCCCACCCUAACACACUCGGGGCUGGAGGGAGUAACCUUCAGACUGAAAUUUUUACCUUGGUUCGGGCUGCAGAAUUGCAACAACAGCCUCUGGCCACAGUCAGGGCCCCUCCCUGCUGUCCCAGUGCCCAGAGAGCUGGACGAGGCCUGAUGCUGGCCUGAUGUGCGGAGCUCCACGCGGCCCCCGGCCCGUCUUCCCCUUACUGGGGACUAGCCUCCCGCAGGUGGGCCCUUAGGGCUCUGGUGUCCCCUUGGCUCCUAGGCUCCCAUCAGGGUGAUCUGGGUUCAGACGUUCCUUCUCAACUCUCAACUCCUCUUCAAUGCCAAGUUCCUUCCCAGAGAGGCCCAAUUUUUUUCCUUCUCUUCCUCAUCUUCCCUUCUUUCCACCGGCUGCCUCCCCAUCGUGUCCUAGCAAAGCUGCGGCAAAGCCUCCGCCCCGUUGCCUUGGCCUGGUUGACCUUUCAGCUGCUGCCCCACACUGCAAACACCACCCACCGCUGCUGUAAAGUUUCUUUACUCUCAGCUUCUUUCUGUUGACCUUGCCUACUCGUAUCUUCAUUAACUUAUUCAUUAGGAGUUAGCAUUUUUCCAAGAUGUGUUAUUUGACAGCCACAACUCUCUUGGACUGCAAACUCCAUGAGCAUGAGGGCCUGGUCUUUCUCACACAAGCCUGAUGCUGUACCUGGCACCUAGCAGACCUUGGUGAACAUGUGCUGAGCAGACAAACUUGUCCCCCAGGCUUUGGUCCUCCCAGCUGGGUGGACUGUCCAUGUCCUAAACCUUGAGGGCAGGCUGCUGCUCUGGACAAACGUGUAGGCCAUCGCUUGGCCUGUGGCCCCAACCCUAGGACUCACUUGCCCUCUUCCUCACUCACCCUGGAUCCUUUGACCCCAGCCUCUCGGCCCCCUCCCAGGCCGCAGCAACCCCCAGGCUCUGCUGUCUGCAUCUCAGCUGAGAAUGCGCUGGGCCAGCCUUUUCUCUCCUUUCCCUGGAGGGAUUGGACUCAAAAAUGAAAAGCUAAUUAAUGGGCUUAAUGGCAGACUAGACACAAAGAGGAAAGGAUAAAUGAAUUUGAAAACACUAAGUGAAAGAAAUAGAACAGAGCAUCUGAGCUCUGUGGGCCAGUAACAAAUGGUUCAACAUACAUGUAACUGGAGUCCCGUUGGCUUGGCCUGAUGAAAUGGAAUUUCCCAUUCUCUUGUUCUGCAGCUAUUUUUCUUGUAUUUUCUUUCUUUGUAAGAACAGUAGUAACAAGGAUGAGGGUAUGGGGAAAAGAGGAUGGCAGGUGGCUGAGGGGUUAAGAGCAUGGGCUUUAGGAGGCAAUCCCAGGGUUGUAUCCCUCCUUGGUCACCUGCUAAUUGUGUGACCUUAGGCAAGUCCACUACUCUCCCUGACCUUGGACUUCUCAUCGGUACCUGCCUGGUGAGGAUUAAACAGUAUAAUGCCAUGAAAGAGCCCAGCAGAAGCUCUGGCGGUGAGAGACAUUGAUUUAUUUGUGCUGACAGAGAAGAAUUCCAAGACUUAUUCCAGAGGCAAAAAGCAAGCUACAGAAAAAUGCCGACAGCAUGAUCCCAUGGGAAGAGAGAGCAGGAAGCAAACCACACCACCUUUCUGCUCCUGUGGGCGCAUGCAGAUCUAGGGCUUUCACACUCCCUGCCUUCUCCUGGAGCCCUGGACCUCACCUCUGUGCCUCAGGUCCCCAUUAAGAUGGGAGGGGAAUCUGAAGACUUUUGGGAAAGGUUUCUUGGUCUCUAAGAGAAACACAGGAAGACC